RNAcentral lists this ribosomal RNA (253 nucleotides) under uncultured bacterium. RNAcentral's name for it is "partial 16S ribosomal RNA". It matches the Rfam family "Bacterial small subunit ribosomal RNA", at positions 524 to 776 of the family's 1533-position model. The record is from RNAcentral.
UACGUAGGGUGCGAGCGUUAAUCGGAAUUACUGGGCGUAAAGCGUGCGCAGGCGGUUUUGUAAGCCAGAUGUGAAAUCCCCGGGCUUAACCUGGGAAUGGCAUUUGGGACUGCAAGGCUUGAGUGUGUCAGAGGGAGGUGGAAUUCCGCGUGUAGCAGUGAAAUGCGUAGAUAUGCGGAGGAACACCGAUGGCGAAGGCAGCCUCCUGGGAUAACACUGACGCUCAUGCACGAAAGCGUGGGGAGCAAACAGG